UUCACACCUCUCAAAAAUGAUCCAUUAAUAAGGUUGAUCAAGUCUUAUUAACAACAACUUUCGAUUAAUAUGAAACCGAAGAAAUUUCGUAAAUCGCUAAGUUACCUCAAUGGGGAUAUGAAUGUCCCCCACAAUAAGCAUUUCAUAAUACUUUUUAAUAGUAGGUAGAGAUAGUUGAAAACUUUCAAUAUUGAUUGUCGGAGAUUUUUCAAUAACAUUAAUAGCAUUCACUUGGAAUUGUUUCUUCGGAAAGUGCACCGUAUGCUCAUUACCAUUGAUAUGAAAAGAGACCUUCCUUUUAUUCCAAUCAAUAACAGCCCCUGCAGU
Molecule: long non-coding RNA, 327 nt
Filed under: Hordeum vulgare
Lineage: Eukaryota; Viridiplantae; Streptophyta; Magnoliopsida; Poales; Poaceae
Description: long non-coding RNA (HVUL_LNC016378)
Source: RNAcentral